Haplochromis burtoni (Burton's mouthbrooder) is the source of this 2811-nucleotide long non-coding RNA. RefSeq lists it as uncharacterized. The transcript is spliced from 10 exons. The record is from RefSeq and is a predicted model, not a curated record. Lineage: Eukaryota; Metazoa; Chordata; Actinopteri; Cichliformes; Cichlidae.
GAAGUGAUUGAGAAUUCAGGUUCUCACAGGUGUUUCUCUUUUGGGAUUGGGGAAGGGGCCAGCUCUGCUCUCAUCAAUGGGAUGGCCAAGGAAGGAGGAGGUCACGCUCAGUUCAUCACAGGGACUGACAGGAUGCAACCAAAAGUGAUGCAGUCGCUGCAGUUUGCUCUGCAGCUGACUGUGGUCGACAUCUCAGUCAUAUUGGAUUUACCAAAGGAAGUGUCUGUCACUGUCCUCUCUCCACUAAUCACAACACUUUUCCAGGGUCAGAGGUCACUGAUUUAUGCCGAGCUCACUAGGACAGCUGAGCUGGUGAGUCCAAUCACUGCUCCUCAGAUGGUCGUCAUUAACUUGAGGAACCGUGAACUGAGCAGCAGCCAACUGGACUCCAUGUCCCACCUGGUCCUCACUCUUUACCAUAACCUGGUGACGGGGUCCAAGGACUUUCCUUACAUACCUUUUAAAGGAUUGUUCCACCGGGACCAGGUGACGACACCAUUUGUCCAUGUGAGGCAGAGCCAGAGAGAGAACACCACUCCUUCUCCUCCUACGGACUCACCAGCUGGCAUGAUGCUGCCGCCUGCGGGCUCCAGCUCUCAUCCACGCUUCCUGACUCCAGUUCUUCCAGAGAAAGCGAUCUUGCUGUGCUGAAGGCAGAUCGGAGGAACUGUGUCGGCACCUUGACUGUCGACGGCCUCCUCGUCACCAGAGUCAUCUCCACUGUUUACCGAACAGAGGACACUGAGAUGACGAACCGCUGGAGAAUAACAGACUACAGCGCGGACGGCAGAGUUCUCACUUCGGUGCUCUGCCGUUUUCUAAAUAUGUCGGCAAAGCGUGCUAAGAGGAAGGCUCCGGAGGAAGAGAGCAGCAUCCGGAGCCCGACUCCAGCAAGGAAGCGCUUGAGAUUAUAAUAUACAGUGAAGCAUGUCGAACGUCAGCAAGCCUGAACAAAGUGUCAGGAAAAAGAGUCACGCUGCGAAGAAACUCCACACAGAAGAUGUUCCCUCAGUAAAAUGACAACUGAGGGUCUUCAGAGCAGCGUGAACGGCCGUCACCUGAGAGAAGACAGUCCUGGCGCCUUUGUGGUUCCCUCCAGACUGACCUGUCCAGGUUGUACUCCUGCCUCUGGCCCCAUAACAGCUGGGAUGGCUCCAAUCUUGAAUUGGAUAAGCUGAAGAAAUGGAUGGAAGGAUGAUCCAAAGAGAAACAUGAAAGGCCCUCUCACAAAAAAAAGAUAAGAACUCAUUUUACACAUUGUUGAAACAUCCUGAAAGUUAUUUGUUGUGUUUAGAAACUGGUUGAACUGUCAUUAGAGUUUGUUUCGACUUGUUGUUCAUUUCUUAUUCGGUUCAGCUGUGUUUCUAUGUGUCCUUAGUUCCCAUAAUCAGCCUCCUGUGUGUAAAUAUUGUGUCAGUCUCCCUUUGUCCCUUGUCAGAGUGUUAGUCUCCGUCCCCUCGUGUUUCCUUGCCUCAGUAGUUCUGUUUCCUAUAGUUUUCCCCCAGUAUAGGUUUUGGUUUGACUUUUUCAGUUCCCUUUGUCAGUCUUUGUAUUUAGUAUUUCUUCAUCAGUCUCAUCACUUUCCUCUGCAGAGAGAAAACAAUAAAAAGACCUGAAGAGGUCUUUUUAUUGUUUUCACCAAAUAACACCAAAUGAGAGUGAAUCACUUCAGAACAACAGGAACACUCCUGGUUAUUGUGAGCAAACGUCAUAACAAGAUGAAUAUAUUUACCAUUUUACUGAGGGAACAUCUUCUGUGUGGAGUUUCUUCUCAUCUUGGCUCUUUUUCCUGACAUUUAGAAACAAGAGGCAGAAAAGAAAGAAUAAAAGUUAAAACCUCAACGAUUUUUUAAUGUUUGGGAUAUUUUAGAAACAACCGUAAACACUAUUUACUACUUACCACUUUGUUCAUUCUUGCUGACGUUCACUCUCCUCAUCUUCUCUCUAAAGGAAGAUGCAAACGCUCUCAUUGUGAAAGAUAAGUAUACAUCCAUCUAACCUGCGACUCUGUCACAACUCUGAUCAGCAAUUCUUUCAGGUUUGUCUGUUUUGAUGAUGCUAUUAAUUGUUAUUAUCCUUUAUCCAGGUAACUUUCAGAGAGGAGCGGAGGGAGGAGCGAAGCCAGCGUGCUCUGUAAACUCUCAUUAAAAAAAAGAUAAGUACAUAUUGAUUUUAUAUUAUUAUGACAGCUCCUCCUCAGUGAACACUUCCUCUAGUUGCUGAAAUCAUUUACUAAUUUUUUUCUUCCCAUUUGUCUUUUGUUUUUCAGAGAAAACAGAGAGGAGACAAGGUGACAUUAAGACCUAAGACAGGACGGAUUGAACCCUUUCUCGUAAAAAGAUAAGUAUUCACUCUGCUUUUAAUCAGAAUAUUGAUAAAUAUCUAAAAUUCUGCUCACCUGGUUGAUAAAGUUACUAAAAUGAUUCCCUCUUUUCUGUCAUUUGUCCUUUAGAGAGAAGAUGAGGAGAGUGAACGUCAGCAAGAAUGAACAAAGUGGAAAAAGAGCCAAGAUGAGAAGAAACUCCACACAGAAGAUGUUCCCUCAGUAAAAUGGAGAGGAGCAGCAACGACACUGGGAGACAAACAACAGGAUGAUCCAAAGACAACUGAGGGUCUUCAGAGCAGCGUGAACGGCCGUCACCUGAGAGAAGACAGUCCUGGCGCCUUUGUGGUUCCCUCCAGACUGACCUGUCCAGGUUGUACUCCUGCCUCUGGCCCCAUAACAGCUGGGACGGCUCCAAUCUUGAAUUGGAUAAGCUGAAGAAAUGGAUGGAAGGAUGAUCCAAAGAGAAACAUCAAAGGCCCUCUCAC